This 1940-nucleotide long non-coding RNA is filed under the name Homo sapiens (human). RNAcentral's name for it is "non-protein coding lnc-SLF1-7:1". The record is from RNAcentral. Lineage: Eukaryota; Metazoa; Chordata; Mammalia; Primates; Hominidae.
GGCAAUAUAAUGCUACCACCAUAAGGUGAGGCUAUCACGCAACUAUAAUAGUUCUAAAUUCCUAUGAAAAAUAUAAUCAGUUAAAAUUUUUUGAACUCCUUACUUUCUAAAUAAGAAAUGGCUGAGAAUAUGAAAAAAAUGCCAAGGAAAACUCAGUGAGAGAAGACAUGGAAAGAAAUAGAAAAGGACAGCUUAGCCCAACAUGCAGAAAGAAAAAAAAAAGUUAAAAGAAAACAAAAACAAACCUUGGCACAGGAGAAUGAGGAUAGUGUAUUCAAAGUCAUCUUCUCUGCCCUGAAGAAAGCACUACUGGAUAAAUAUGACAAUGUUUCCUUAUUUUGUAAUCUUGGGUGAGGAACUCUUUUAAUUUGGGCCUAGAGUCUUAGGUUUUCAUUUGCAUUCCUCAGUGAUGUCUGUCGCCAAGUUACCUAUAGUACCACCUAUCAGGAAAUAAAACUCCUUAGCCCCACAUUCGUCUACGGGAAAUACAGCAGGAAUACAUGUUAUGAGGGAUUUGUUUUAUUUUUCCGGUCAGCAACAGUCAGUGCCUCCCUAGGAUAACCCCAUAUCUUCCUAUACUGCUACAAAACAUUUCUUAAUAUUUUUCAUGAUAAAGCUUAAUACAUGUGUUUGUUAGCUAAGUUAUAUAAUAUCAAGCAUGGAAAAGCAGGUGGGCCUGUUUCUUUUGUUACACUUCAACCUCAAUUCUAGGUAUAUUGUAGUUGUACUAAUCAGACUUAAUCUGCAAUACAAGUAAGUUAUUAUGGGGAAGGCAGCAUGUUUUACCAAAGAUCGUGGAUCGAUUUGUAUUUAUACAUAUUUCCUCUUCUCAUCUGAACCAUUAUUGGUUUACAUAUAUGAUUUUGGCCCUUUUUAGGAACUGUUGGCCGAUCCAUCAUCUCUUACGAUUGGGCUCUCUUGUUCUUCUGUUCAGCACUCUGAUUUUCCUUGGGGAAACCCUCCCCCACUUUUAGUUGAUGGUUUCUGGUGGUGCCGGUUCCACCCCUGGCUCUGCGUGGUGGACAUUUGACCCAGACCUGGUCAAAAAGAGUAUCAGCUGCUCCUGGUUAUACUAAUCGGUUCAAGGAUGGGCAAAUCAGAACAGUGAGACUCAACUGUGGGUCUUUGGGAUUACAGCAAAAAAGAAUCUUUUUUCCCCUGAACAAAAGCUAGAAGAAGGUAAACCUGAAGAUAUUUAUGGCCACUUACGGGAAAUCCUGUCUAAGAUGAAUGCUAACGCAGAGGAAAACCAAGCCAAGAUAUGGCAAGAAACUAAGGUCUGAUUGAAUUCUUUUAGCCCCUGAAGCAGACAUGUCUGAAAGUAUGAUUUGGCCUUCCACAGAUACACAUACAAAAGUAAGUAAAAAGGACCAUUUAAACAUCUUGGUGUAAUUCUUACAGAUUUUGAAAAAUUUUAAAUUCAUCCAUCACACCUGGCCCCCAUCAGACAUAAUUAGAAUCUCUGGCAGUAGGGCCUGGAAUCUGCAUUUUUAGUUAUUCCCUGAGUGUUUCAGGUGAUCAGCUAAUUUAAAGACCCAUUAUGAGUUAUUGACUAAAAAUUCUCACUCUUCUCGAACACCAUCAACAGGCCAUAUGGAGUUUACAUACUGCGCUAGAGGCUUCCUAGAGAGUAGACUAUAAAAUAGAUAAAGUAGGUUAAGGGCUACAAUUACUCUCCUUCUUAUUUAUUUAUUUAUUUAUUUAUUCAUUCAUUCAUUCUUUCAUUCAUUCGAGAUGGAGUCUCACUCUGUCACCCAGGCUGUAGUACAAUGGCACGAUCUCGGCUCACUGAAACCUCUGCCUCCUGGGUUCCAGCCAUUCUUCUGCCUCGGCUCCCAUGAGGAGCUAGGAUUACAGGCGUGUGCCACCACACAUGGCUACUUUUUUGUAUUUUUAGUAGAGACGGAGUUUCACCAUGUUGGCCAGGCUGGUCUCAAACU